RNAcentral lists this long non-coding RNA (670 nucleotides) under Heterocephalus glaber (naked mole-rat). RNAcentral describes it as "lncRNA (ENSHGLG00000032917.1)". Lineage: Eukaryota; Metazoa; Chordata; Mammalia; Rodentia; Bathyergidae. The record is from RNAcentral.
CAAGGACACCGACCCAUCUGGGAGAGGGAGGGUACCUCACCACUGCCCUCCAGAUGAUCUCCUUGACACCACAGGGUGGGGAAUGUCCUGCACCAGGAGGCUUUGCACCUCUUCAGCUCCAAGUCUGGGAUCCAUGCUGCACAAAGAAACCCAGGGACCUCACCACCAAGUGGCACCUUGAGCCCCUCCACUUCUUUUUUCCCAUGUGUCAGAAUAAGUACCGAGGCUGAACCCAGGGCCUUCACAGUGACUCCCACCCCUAGCCCUUUUGUACUUUUUGAUUUUGAGAUGGGGUCUCCCUAAGUCACUAAGUAACCCAGGCUGAGCUGGAACUUGGGAUUCUCCUGCCUCAGCCUCCUAGAAUGCUGGGAGGGCAGGUGUGUGCCACCCGCCCAGCCAUGGCUAACAUUUUUAACACGCACUCUACACGCCAGUUUUUAAAUACUAACUCAUUUAAUUUUCAAGCCAUCCUAUGAGGAGGACAAAACAGUCGGUCCCCUUUGUAGUAGGGACUCAGGGCACAGAUGAGGGUGAGCUUAUUUCAGGAGCCCCUGGGGAAGGGCCGACAGCAAAUCUGAACUCAGGAAGGUGAGAGUCAGGUCUCAGAGCGCAGGUGACAGGAGGGUAUCCCCGCUCUGUCUCUAAGCUCUGCGUCCCUGGGGGUCCAGAG